UACGUAGGGUGCAAGCGUUGUCCGGAAUUAUUGGGCGUAAAGAGCUCGUAGGCGGUCUGUCGCGUCUGCUGUGAAAACCUGGGGCUUAACCCCGGGCCUGCAGUGGGUACGGGCAGACUAGAGUGCGGUAGGGGAGACUGGAAUUCCUGGUGUAGCGGUGAAAUGCGCAGAUAUCAGGAGGAACACCGGUGGCGAAGGCGGCUUUCUGGUCUGUAACUGACGCUGAGGCGCGAAAGCGUGGGGAGCAAACAGG
This 253-nucleotide ribosomal RNA is filed under the name uncultured bacterium. Its description in RNAcentral is "partial 16S ribosomal RNA". It matches the Rfam family "Bacterial small subunit ribosomal RNA", at positions 524 to 776 of the family's 1533-position model. The record is from RNAcentral.